AUGAGCGUGGUGGUCCUGGACGGGUCGACGGUGCGGUCCUUCGUGGCCGACGAGGCGGCCUUCGCGCGCAGCGUGGAUGCGCGCUUCGCCGCGCUCGACGCCAACGGCGACGGCGUGCUCUCCCGCGCCGAGCUCCGCCGCGCGCUCGAGUCCUUCCGCCUCCUCGACGGCGCGGGCUUCGGCUCCGCCGAGCCGGCCCCGCUCCCGGGCGAGGUCGCGGCCCUCUACGACGCCGUGUUCGAGCAGUUCGACGCUGACCACAGCGGCGCCGUGGACCGCGCCGAGUUCCGCGGCGAGAUGCGCCGCAUCAUGCUCGCCGUCGCCGACGGCCUCGGCUGCCAGCCGCUCCAGGUCGCCGUGGACGACAAGGGCGGCAGCUUCCUGCUCGAGGCCGCGGAGCACGAGGCCGCCAUGAUCGCCGCCAGGGUCCAGGAAGAACGCGACAAGACCGCGGCCGAGGAGGCAGCCGACGGCAAGUGA
This 480-nucleotide ribosomal RNA is filed under the name Triticum aestivum (bread wheat). RNAcentral describes it as "partial small subunit ribosomal RNA". The record is from RNAcentral. Lineage: Eukaryota; Viridiplantae; Streptophyta; Magnoliopsida; Poales; Poaceae.